GGGGGAGUAGUUAAAUUAACAUUUAAUUUGCAAUUAAAAAAUGCCCACUAUAAGAGCCUCCCUCAU
Molecule: transfer RNA, 66 nt
Filed under: Coptosoma parvipictum
Lineage: Eukaryota; Metazoa; Arthropoda; Insecta; Hemiptera; Plataspidae
Description: tRNA-Ala
Source: RNAcentral